UGCCUCGUACAGGGGGACAACAGUUGGAAACGACUGCUAAUACCGCAUAAGCGCACGAUACUGCAUGGUAUUGUGUGAAAAACUGAGGUGGUACGAGAUGGACCCGCGUCUGAUUAGCUGGUUGGUGGGGUAACGGCCUACCAAGGCGACGAUCAGUAGCCGACCUGAGAGGGUGACCGGCCACAUUGGGACUGAGACACGGCCCAAACUCCUAC
This 215-nucleotide ribosomal RNA is filed under the name uncultured bacterium. Its description in RNAcentral is "partial 16S ribosomal RNA". It matches the Rfam family "Bacterial small subunit ribosomal RNA", at positions 127 to 342 of the family's 1533-position model. The record is from RNAcentral.